RNAcentral lists this ribosomal RNA (379 nucleotides) under Panulirus japonicus (Japanese spiny lobster). Its description in RNAcentral is "partial 16S rRNA". The stretch from base 1 to 200 matches the Rfam family "Archaeal large subunit ribosomal RNA", at positions 1896 to 2143 of the family's 2987-position model. The record is from RNAcentral. Lineage: Eukaryota; Metazoa; Arthropoda; Malacostraca; Decapoda; Palinuridae.
UUAUCAAAAACAUGUCUUUAUGAAUUUCAUGUAAAGUCUAGCUGCCAGUGACAUUAAAGUUUAACGGCCGCGGUAGCAUGACCGUGCUAAGGUAGCAUAAUCAUUUGUCCUUUAAUUGAGGACUGGUAUGAACGGCUGAACAAGAAAUCAACUGUCUCUGCUAUAAAUUUUGAAAUUGACAUUUAAGUGAAAAGGCUUAAAUGAGAUAGGGGGACGAUAAGACCCUAUAAAUCUUGAUGAUUAAGAUAAUAAAUUUUAGACAGUAGUAAUAAGUUUAAAUUUAAUGUGUUAAUUAUUUUGUUGGGGCGACAGGAGUAUAAGAAGUAACUGCUUUGAAAAAAUAAUUAAUUAUUUUUAUGAUGUUUUGUUUGUGAUCCUU